GACGAACGCUGGCGGCGUGCUUAACACAUGCAAGUCGAACGAGAAGAGAUGAGAAGCUUGCUUCUUAUCAAUUCGAGUGGCAAACGGGUGAGUAACGCGUAAGCAACCUGCCCUUCAGAUGGGGACAACAGCCGGAAACGGCUGCUAAUACCGCAUAAUGCAUUGGAUUCGCAUGUUUCUGAUGCCAAAGAUUUUAUCGCUGAAAGAUGAGCUCGCGUCUGAUUAGCUAGUUGGCGGGGUAACGGCCCACCAAGGCGACGAUCAGUAGCCGGACUGAGAGGUUGAACGGCCACAUUGGGACUGAGACACGGCCCAG
This 316-nucleotide ribosomal RNA is filed under the name uncultured bacterium. RNAcentral's name for it is "bacterial SSU rRNA". It matches the Rfam family "Bacterial small subunit ribosomal RNA", at positions 28 to 334 of the family's 1533-position model. The record is from RNAcentral.